UGAUCUUUGAAGUAUCUCCGAUGAAAAUUCAGUCUGAGAACAACUCAUAACUACGGUGAAUGUGUUCUAAACGUUUGAAUCUUGGGAAACUUUGGUCUUUGCACCGGCCUCGAGUGUCCAGUCACAACGGAGGUGUUUCUCAGCAGACUCAACGGCCUGCUGUGUCAAAUCAGUUAGAUCCUGUUUUGAGACUUGUCCGCCAACGGCAGCGUUCCAACAUUCCAUAUAUAAUCUUUGUUCUGCUUUCACAUACACACACUCUGUGUCGGACUACAGUCUUUGCCCGUGUCACACUGUGUGUCACAGAGCACUCUGUUCAUUAACCCAUUCAUGGAGUGGGUGGGUAUUUUUUGCUGAAUUGAGAUAAAAGUUUCCUAACAGGCCACAAUCAAGGAAAUAAAACUUUUUUUUCGUUUAUGGUUAAGUUAAAUGAUAACCUGAGGCAGCCAUGUUGGGUCAGGAAUGAAAGGGAAAUAACUCCAAUGACCAAUGAGUUAUCCUCUCCUGAUACCAAAUUAUGGCUUCAGAUUAAAACACUUAAUUAUUUUGAUAUACUGAAGGAUAUAAUGCUUGAAAAUCAUGAUGUCCCAAAAAUGGGUUAAACUUCAAAGAGUUUGUCACGUUUCACGCCUCUGGACUCUAGUUAUUGACCAAACCUGGAAUUGGACGAACACGUGGAAACACCACAAAUGGACCUCCUUCCACCAACUGGUGACCUUGACGUGAUUCGAAACCAUCCAUUGGACCGACAGGCAGAAAUUUUGCCACGCCACAAUUGACAAGGUAAGAAGACAUUUAUCUUUUCAGUCUAAUUUUUAUCUGUCGGCCAGUGUGUGGUAAGGUUUCACUUCCUAUUGUUUGAAAUUGAAUAAGAGGCUGUGAAAUGUGAUGUUAUGGCCAGAAAGUAAAGAGAAUAAAAGCGCAUAAGUACAAAGAGAAACCGAGAAAUAACCAAUACAUUAAGUGUUGUAAUUAGCAAAAAGAGAAGGCGGAUUUGCUCUUCGAGUGAGUUUUAGAAUAAAUAGGUCCUGUUUUGUGUUAAGAGGCGGUGUCGUUCCCUUACGGAAUCUGAAAUACCACAAUUUCCUCGAACCAACAACUGAAUGUGUGUGGAGUAAACUGUCGGGGACAGAGAGAAACGAGAAACAGUAACCUGUCGGGGACAGAGACAUAUCACACUGGAUACAUUAUACUGUGAAUAGAGGUGGGUUCGUUCUAUUAGAGAAUCAUAGAAACAGUAAUUCCUAAUUUUCCGGUGUAAGAGGCAACAUCGUUCUUCAGAAGAAUCUUAGAUGUCUUAAAAUUCCUCAUAUUACGGUGUGAAGUAGUAAAGAAAAACGCGCAAGCUUGAGUAACGGUGUUUUGUAAAAAAAAAAAAAAAAAAAAAAGAUUUGGAUCCAUUAUACAAUCAUAAUAUAAAUAAAAUAAUAAUGAUAAAUAAAUAAUAUAAAUGAAAUAAUAUAAUACGACAAAGUAAUCAACUCUGCGCAACCAAUUGAUCACUGAAAUUGCAGAAUGGACGGGAACAGAGAAAAAGAAUGGUGAGAUUAACGCGUCAUCCUAGAUGAUGAUCAGAAAAUUCCACUUAGUGACCAAAUAAGAAUUACAUGCAAAGUAUGCAUGGAAGGCCUUCCUGAGCGUGAGAGAGAAAAUAAGAAUAAAAGAGUUGUGUGAGUGAGUCGACGGAUGACUGGCUUCCAACCUUGAUGUCUCCGUCAUUGGUCAUGUUGGUGAAAGAAGUGAUAAAGUGUUGUGUGGUGAAAAAGGAGAAACUUGAGAGUAACAUUAAAAAAAAAAAAAGUCAGCGGGCAGUCCAAGUCCAAUAUCAAACCAAGAUUCAUAGUCAAUUACAGCCUUGAAUGCACAAAAAUAGCAUUUUCUGCAAGGGACACACUUCCCGAAUCGCGAGCAGCUACGGACUCAUCACGCAACAAUGUUGCCGUGGCUCUCGGGGCUGGUGUCACCGCCUCAAUUAAUCACUUGCAAGACACUGUUCAUGAUUUAUUACUCAUAAACCAUUCACUCCAUCCGAUUUGAGAAUGUCGUUACAGGAACUUCCUCCGAUGCAAAGUGGAGGGGCGAAUUGGCUGAGGGCUGUUCAGCGUGAUAAAACUCGGCAAAUUUUUACUUCUGGUGAUUUGAAAAUCCUGAAGACGCAAGCGACUCGACUCUCUCAGCUCGACAUCUUGAUGUCUCCCUCCACUGUCAGCAGCCUCCUUGAUGGUCGUGAGAAUGUUGGUUAUCCAAAUAAAGGCUGGAGAUGAUGAACAGUUUCUUCAAAGAAUUUACAUACAGAAUAUUCCGGGCACUUAUGAGUUACAGACAAUGGCUGUAGAGAGCAGAUCACAAGUGCAAAGGAAUUUCCAAAAGGGACUGAACUUCGCAAGAACAAGUUGGUCGCUUUGAAAAGCCAGGCAGAAAAGCAGGCAAUUCAGGAAUCUCAUCGCUGAGCUGGACCAAGGGCUUCCAGGUGACCUGCCGCUGCUCUGCACUGUGAGGUGGCUGUCAAAAAUCAAGGUACUCUCUCGCUUUUUUGAGCUUUUGUAUGCUGUGAAACUGUUCAUGGAAGAGAAGGACAAGGACUAUCCCGAGCUCUCAGACCUCGAGUGGAUUAUGGAUCUGGCAUUUUCAGUCGACAUGCUGUGUCACUUGGACAGACUGAACCUGGCCCUGCAGGAAAAGUUAAAAAUGCUGCCUGACCUGGUGUGUGUGUGUUUGUCAACAAACUAAAGCUGUUUGAGGCGCAUAUUCUAAAGCGAGAUUUAACACAUUUUCAUACUCUGCUAAAAGCCAGUGAGCAAGUCACCAGCGCCGCCCUGAAAAAGAAAAGAGACAGAUAUGCAACACUGGUUACAAACCUGCACGAAAGCUUUGUGACCCAGUUCUGUGAUCUACAACUGAAAAGACCACAGAUUACGUUCCUCGUCGACCCAUUUAAUGCGGAGACAGACUGUUUGAAAGCCCCGCUCGUCACAGAUGAGGCUGCGGCUGAGUUGGAGAUGAUCGACCUUUGUGAGGAGGAUCAACUGAAAGCUGUUUUAAGGGAAGGGACCGUUGAGUUCUGGAAAAGUGUGCCAAUUGAAAAAUACCCCAACAUCAAACGAGCUGCGCUUAAAAUACUGUCCAUGUUUGGGUCAACGUACGUCUGCGAGUCUGUGUUCUCUAAUCUGACACAUGUGAAAUCAAAGCAUCGAUCUGUUCUGACUGACACUCAUUUGAAAGAAUUGCUUAGAGUGGCAACAACAGAAUACAAGCCAGAUUUGAAGAGGAUUGUCCAAGUCUCACUAAGAAGCAUAGUAAGAGAAAGAUGUUAUUGAAAAUUAUUCUAUUAUUGUUUGUGGACUUGCUUGAACUGAGAGUUUGCGUGUGUGUGUGUGGUGUGUGUGUGUGUGUGUGUGUGAGUGAGACACUGCACGCAAUGUUAACUGUUGAAAAUUACUGAUAUCAUGUUGGUGUGGUUAUUUUCAUUAGAUCUGGCUGAUCUGUGUAUGCGUGCAUACAUGAUUAAAAGAUGAUGUUCAUGUGUACCCAUGUGUAUGAUGUGGCUCUUUGCAGUAACACAGAAAAAAAAGUGUCUCUUAGUCUCUGACUUGGCCACCCCUGGUUUAUAGGGAUGACACUUGACCUUGAAGUUAAAGCGUAAAGCUAAAAAUCACCACUCUAGUGGAAUUGAUUUUGAGACAUCACUGCACAAAAGAAUUGAUAUUUGCCACAUGGUGUACCAAUGUUACAGAUUGUCAAGAAAGACCCUCGAUAUGGGUCCAUCUGGGAUUUGAACCCUGGACCGCUCACACUCUAAGGGAGAAUCAUACCUCUAGAGCCCAGGAGAGCUCUGAAAUCGAGUCAAAUAGUGGAGCGCAGAGUCCAAAGCAAACACGGUGAAGCAGCAUUUAGCUAUUAUGCAGCACACAAAUGGAAUAAGUUGCCAACAGAAGUGAGGUCAGCCCCACGUGUGAAUGUUUUUAAAUCCAGGUUGAAAACUAUUCUUUUUUCUCAUGUUUUUUUUAAUAUAUCCACUUUUUGAUCAUAUUACUUGCACUGUAUGCGGUUUUAAUUGUCUUUUUAAAAAUAUUUUGUUUGUCAUUUUUAUUGUUUUUAUUCGGUUUUAAAUGUUGGAUCUCUUUGUUUUC
Molecule: long non-coding RNA, 4130 nt
Organism: Syngnathoides biaculeatus (alligator pipefish)
Lineage: Eukaryota; Metazoa; Chordata; Actinopteri; Syngnathiformes; Syngnathidae
Exons: 5
Source: RefSeq, a predicted model, not a curated record